GGACUCGCACAAGCGGUGGAGCAUGUGGUUUAAUUCGACGCAACGCGAAAAACCUUACCAGGUCUUGACAUCCCUCUGACGGCGCUAGAGAUAGCGCGUCCCUUCGGGGCAGAGGAGACAGGUGGUGCAUGGUUGUCGUCAGCUCGUGUCGUGAGAUGUUGGGUUAAGUCCCGCAACGAGCGCAACCCUUAUCAUUAGUUGCUAACAUUAAGUUGAGAACUCUAAUGAGACUGCCAGUGAUAAACUGGAGGAAGGUGGGGAUGACGUCAAAUCAUCAUGCCCCUUAUGACCUGGGCUACACACGUGCUACAAUGGUUGGUACAAAGAGGAGCGAAGCUGUGAAGUGAAGCAAAUCUCAAAAAACCAAUCUCAGUUCGGAUUGUAGUCUGCAACUCGACUACAUGAAGUUGGAAUCGCUAGUAAUCGUGAAUCAGAAUGUCACGGUGAAUACGUUCUCGAGUCUU
This 464-nucleotide ribosomal RNA is filed under the name uncultured bacterium. RNAcentral's name for it is "bacterial SSU rRNA". It matches the Rfam family "Bacterial small subunit ribosomal RNA", at positions 917 to 1382 of the family's 1533-position model. The record is from RNAcentral.